RNAcentral lists this ribosomal RNA (550 nucleotides) under Bacillus sp. HZBC6. RNAcentral's name for it is "bacterial SSU rRNA". It matches the Rfam family "Bacterial small subunit ribosomal RNA", at positions 401 to 943 of the family's 1533-position model. Lineage: Bacteria; Bacillati; Bacillota; Bacilli; Caryophanales; Bacillaceae. The record is from RNAcentral.
GAGUGAGGAAGGCCUUCGGGUCGUAAAGCUCUGUUGUGAGGGAAGAAGCGGUACCGUUCGAAUAGGGCGGUACCUUGACGGUACCUCACCAGAAAGCCACGGCUAACUACGUGCCAGCAGCCGCGGUAAUACGUAGGUGGCAAGCGUUGUCCGGAAUUAUUGGGCGUAAAGCGCGCGCAGGCGGCUUCUUAAGUCUGAUGUGAAAUCUCGGGGCUCAACCCCGAGCGGCCAUUGGAAACUGGGGAGCUUGAGUGCAGAAGAGGAGAGUGGAAUUCCACGUGUAGCGGUGAAAUGCGUAGAGAUGUGGAGGAACACCAGUGGCGAAGGCGACUCUCUGGUCUGUAACUGACGCUGAGGCGCGAAAGCGUGGGGAGCAAACAGGAUUAGAUACCCUGGUAGUCCACGCCGUAAACGAUGAGUGCUAGGUGUUAGGGGUUUCGAUGCCCGUACUGCCGAAGUUAACACAUUAAGCACUCCGCCUGGGGAGUACGGCCGCAAGGCUGAAACUCAAAGGAAUUGACGGCUACCCGCACAAGCACUUGAGCAUGUG